RNAcentral lists this ribosomal RNA (358 nucleotides) under uncultured Lactobacillus sp. Its description in RNAcentral is "bacterial SSU rRNA". It matches the Rfam family "Bacterial small subunit ribosomal RNA", at positions 182 to 524 of the family's 1533-position model. Lineage: Bacteria; Bacillati; Bacillota; Bacilli; Lactobacillales; Lactobacillaceae. The record is from RNAcentral.
ACUUUCGCAUGAAAGAAGUUUAAAAGGACGGCGUAAGCUGUCGCUAAGGGAUGGACCUGCGAUGCAUUAGCUAGUUGGUAAGGUAACGGCUUACCAAGGCGAUGAUGCAUAGCCCGAGUUGAGAGACUGAUCGGCCACAUUGGGACUGAGACACGGCCCAAACUCCUACGGGAGGCAGCAGUAGGGAAUCUUCCACAAUGGACGAAAGUCUGAUGGAGCAACGCCGCGUGAGUGAAGAAGGUUUUCGGAUCGUAAAGCUCUGUUGUUGGUGAAGAAGGAUAGAGGUAGUAACUGGCCUUUAUUUGACGGUAAUCAAUUAGAAAGUCACGGCUAACUACGUGCCAGCAGCCGCGGUAAU